AGGGGCUGCCAACUCGNUUAAAUUCAAGCCUUGCUGAUAUAUCCCACCCUGUUCUUUUGCGUACUUCUUGUUUCCUUGGUGGGUUCGCCCACCACUAGGACAAACAUAAACCUUUUGUAAUUGCAAUCAGCGUCAGUAACAAAUUAAUAAUUACAACUUUCAACAACGGAUCUCUUGGUUCUGGCAUCGAUGAAGAACGCAGCGAAAUGCGAUAAGUAGUGUGAAUUGCAGAAUUCAGUGAAUCAUCGAAUCUUUGAACGCACAUUGCGCCCUUUGGUAUUCCAAAGGGCAUGCCUGUUCGAGCGUCAUUUGUACCCUCAAGCUUUGCUUGGUGUUGGGCGUCUUGUCUCUAGCUUUGCUGGAGACUCGCCUUAAAGUAAUUGGCAGCCGGCCUACUGGUUUCGGAGCGCAGCACAAGUCGCACUCUCUAUCAGCAAAGGUCUAGCAUCCAUUAAGCCUUUUUUCAACUUUUGACCUCGGAUCAGGUAGGGAUACCCGCUGAACUUAGCAU
This 511-nucleotide ribosomal RNA is filed under the name Alternaria brassicae. RNAcentral describes it as "eukaryotic LSU rRNA". The stretch from base 155 to 308 matches the Rfam family "5.8S ribosomal RNA". The record is from RNAcentral. Lineage: Eukaryota; Fungi; Ascomycota; Dothideomycetes; Pleosporales; Pleosporaceae.